AAACUUUGAUAGAAACUUACAACACCUAUCCGCCUGGGAACUACGAGCGCUAGCUUAAAACCCAAAGGACUUGGCGGUGCUUCAGACCCCCCUAGAGGAGCCUGUCCUAGAACCGAUGAUCCCCGUUCAACCUCACCAUUUCUUGUUCAUUCCGCCUAUAUACCGCCGUCGCCAGCCUACCCUCUAAGGGACCCAAAGUAGGCAAAAUAAAUACUUCUUAAAACGUCAGGUCGAGGUGUAGCGAAUGAAAUGGGAAGAGAUGGGCUACAUUCUCUAGACCAGAGAAUUACGAAAGAGGUUUUGAAAUAAACCCCAGAAGGAGGAUUUAGCAGUAAGCACAAAAAUAGAGAGCUUG
Molecule: ribosomal RNA, 355 nt
Filed under: Harpadon microchir
Lineage: Eukaryota; Metazoa; Chordata; Actinopteri; Aulopiformes; Synodontidae
Description: partial 12S ribosomal RNA
Rfam family: Bacterial small subunit ribosomal RNA
Source: RNAcentral